This 215-nucleotide ribosomal RNA is filed under the name uncultured bacterium. RNAcentral's name for it is "partial 16S ribosomal RNA". It matches the Rfam family "Bacterial small subunit ribosomal RNA", at positions 120 to 334 of the family's 1533-position model. The record is from RNAcentral.
AGUAACCUGCCUUGGAGUGGGGAAUAACACAGUGAAAACUGUGCUAAUACCGCAUAAUGCAUUUGGGUCGCAUGAUUCUGAAUGCCAAAGAUUUAUCGCUCUGAGAUGGACUCGCGUCUGAUUAGCUAGUUGGCGGGGUAACGGCCCACCAAGGCGACGAUCAGUAGCCGGACUGAGAGGUUGGCCGGCCACAUUGGGACUGAGACACGGCCCAG